UGAGGAAUAUUGGUCAAUGGGCGCGAGCCUGAACCAGCCAAGCCGCGUGAGGGAAGAAGGCGCUAAGCGUCGUAAACCUCUUUUGUCAGGGGACAAAAAGUCGUACGCGUACGAUAUUGAGUGUACCUGAAGAAAAAGCAUCGGCUAACUCCGUGCCAGCAGCCGCGGUAAUACGGAAGGUCCGGGCGUUAUCCGGAUUUAUUGGGUUUAAAGGGAGCGUAGGCGGACUUUCAAGUCAGUGGUAAAAUCGUGUGGCUCAACCAUACCUCGCCAUUGAAACUGGAAGUCUGGAGUGCACACAGGGGUGCCGGAAUUCAUGGUGUAGCGGUGAAAUGCUUAGAUAUCAUGAAGAACUCCGAUCGCGAAGGCAAGUGCCCGGGGUGCAACUGACGCUGAGGCUCGAAGGUGCGGGUAUCGAACAGGAUUAGAUACC
Molecule: ribosomal RNA, 433 nt
Filed under: uncultured bacterium
Lineage: Bacteria
Description: bacterial SSU rRNA
Rfam family: Bacterial small subunit ribosomal RNA
Source: RNAcentral